AAUUAAUUUAAAGCGCUAGAGGUUAAGAAUAUUUGAUUAGUUCAGUAAGUUUGAAGAACUAGAUCAAGGGAAUUAGAUUUCCACUUAACCUGACGAGGAUGGGGAGUAUCGAAGAUUUCAGCGGGUGCCCCACGGUAUAAAUACUACCGUUAAAGACUAGCAAAACUGGAAAGCGAUUUUCAGCACAAAUCUAGUCGGGUAUUUAGA
This 207-nucleotide non-coding RNA is filed under the name Clostridium colicanis DSM 13634. RNAcentral's name for it is "glmS glucosamine-6-phosphate activated ribozyme aptamer". It matches the Rfam family "glmS glucosamine-6-phosphate activated ribozyme aptamer". Rfam says of the family: This entry contains a glucosamine-6-phosphate activated ribozyme that is found in the mRNA for GlmS. GlmS is an enzyme that uses fructose-6-phosphate and glutamine to generate glucosamine-6-phosphate. Lineage: Bacteria; Bacillati; Bacillota; Clostridia; Eubacteriales; Clostridiaceae. The record is from Rfam by way of RNAcentral.